UCUGAGGGGGAGUUUCUUUGGGGAAGGAAGGCCCAGUUUCGCCACUGAACAAAGAAUGAAAAUAACCAACAAAGGGAUCCCCCUCCCCAGUGAGGGAGACGCAGGAUCAGAGAAGCGAGAGAGACAUCGGGGGAAAAACCACCGGGGCUAGAGAGAGCCAGGCAAAGGAAGAAAGGAUCUCCACUGAGCUGCGGAAGGUUUUGCCCACCUCGCCUGCCGCUCCUCUCCUUUGCCAUCCUGCUCCCUUCCCUCCGUUCUCCUCUCUCUGAGGUUUGCAAACAAAACGUCACCAAUCGAUAAGCCUCUCGCUGUGUGUGUGUGUGUGUGUGUGUGUGUGUGUGAUCCUGACCGGCCGGACUCCCAAAUCUGCCGCUCCCGACUCGUUCACUACCUCUGUAGGAAGCCACAAGAAGUUCCCAGCCAGGCGAGCGGCCCCUUUGGCGGAGGAUGGCGGAGCUGGGACAGGUGCAGUUAAAGGAAGAAAGCUUGAAAAUGGAACCCAAAAUGGAACCUAAAAUCUCAAAAACCAGAAGAACCUAGGAGCCCCAGUCAUGGCCCAGGAGCCCGUUGUGCCAGGUGCUAUACAAAUACAGAACAAAAAGACAGUUCCUGCCCCAAUAACUCCUGGAAGGCAUGGAGAAAUAAAAGGGAGCAUAGCCACAAGGCGAAGCUGAGCAAUACCAGGACAGACUAGUGGGCAACAGAAUGAGGGCAGGCCAGUGCAGAGGAUGCACUGGGAUCCUGUUCUGCUAUGAAGACAAAGAAGACUUCUGCUGCAUGAAGGGAUGUGACCGUGUCAGCCGAAGACCGAGCAGAUGAAUAGAUCUAUUGACAGACAGCUGCAGGAAGCACCACUGGAAGGGGCAAGACUGGCAGAGAUUACGGUGAUGCUGGAGAAAGAAGAAGGUGAGGAGGAGAGUGUGCAGGAAUAUGAUCCCCAACAACUCCUGUUAUCUCAGAAAGGGACUCGGUCCAGGGUCACCUUGAGGAGGAAAGAGGGGAAGGUGGACAUGAUGCAGGAAGGGAUCGCUGAUAUAUUCAGGAACAGUCCAUUGUAGUCAAUGGGAAUCUCUCCACCCAUUUCAAUGGGCUUUGGAGCAUUGAACUCGGACUCGAAUAACCAAUGCACUGAACUCAGAACCUAACAUGGGUUCUAGUUCUAUGUGGGGUUUGUUUGGGGCACAGAGCUGAUAUUCAGAGUUUGC
Molecule: long non-coding RNA, 1205 nt
Organism: Chelonia mydas (Green sea turtle)
Lineage: Eukaryota; Metazoa; Chordata; Testudines; Cheloniidae
Exons: 5
Source: RefSeq, a predicted model, not a curated record